CAGCACCUCAAGUGGUCAGGAUGAUUAUUGGGCCUAAAGCAUCCGUAGCCGGCUCUGUCAGUUUUCGGUUAAAUCUGUAUGCUCAACAUACAGGCUGCCGGGAAUACUGCAGAGCUAGGGAGUGGGAGAGGUAGACGGUACUCGGUAGGAAGGGGUAAAAUCCUUUGAUCUAUUGAUGACCACCUGUGGCGAAGGCGGUCUACCAGAACACGUCCGACGGUGAGGGAUGAAAGCUGGGGGAGCAAACCGGAUUAGAGACCCGAGUAGUCC
This 270-nucleotide ribosomal RNA is filed under the name uncultured archaeon. Its description in RNAcentral is "partial 16S ribosomal RNA". It matches the Rfam family "Archaeal small subunit ribosomal RNA", at positions 477 to 747 of the family's 1478-position model. The record is from RNAcentral.